Molecule: ribosomal RNA, 1475 nt
Filed under: uncultured Flavobacterium sp.
Lineage: Bacteria; Pseudomonadati; Bacteroidota; Flavobacteriia; Flavobacteriales; Flavobacteriaceae
Description: bacterial SSU rRNA
Rfam family: Bacterial small subunit ribosomal RNA
Source: RNAcentral
UCUAGAACGCUAGCGGGCUUAACACAUGCAAGUCGAGGCCGGUAUAGGAAGCUUGCUUUCUAGAGACCGGCGCACGGGUGCGUAACGCGUAUGCAACAGACCUAGCACAAAGGGAUAGCCCAGAGAUUUUUGGAUUAAUACCUUAUAGUAUAUCGAGUUGGCAUCACCAUGAUACUAAAGAUUUAUCGGUGAAAGAUGAGCAUGCGUCCCAUUAGUUAGUUGGUAAGGUAACGGCUUACCAAGACUACGAUGCCAAGGGGUCCUGAGAGGGAGAUCCCCCACNCNGGUACUGAGACACGGACCAGACUCUCCGGGAGGCAGCAGUGAGGAAUAUUGGACAAUGGGCGCAAGCCUGAUCCAGGCAUGCCGCGUGCAGGAUGACGGUCCUAUGGAUUGUAAACUGCUUUUAUACAGGAAGUUCACCUCUACGUGUAGAGACUUGACGGUACUGUAAGAAUAAGGCAGGGCUAACUCCGUGCCAGCAGCCGCGGUAAUACGGAGGAUCCAAGCGUUAUCCGGAAUCAUUGGGUGGAAAGGGUCCGUAGGCGGUCAGAUAAGUCAGUGGUGAAAGCCCAUCGCUCAACGGUGGAACGGCCAUUGAUACUGUCUGACUUGCGUUAUUAGGAAGUAACUAGAAUAUGUAGUGUAGCGGUGAAAUGCUUAGAGAUUACAUGGAAUACCAAUACUGAAGGCAGGUUACUACUAAUAUAUUGACGCUGAUGGACCAAAGCGUGGGUAGCGAACAGGAUUAGAUACCCUGGUAGUCCACGCCGUAAACGAUGGAUACUAGUGGAUUGGGAGCAAUCUCAGUGGCUAAGCGAAAGUGAUAAGUAUCCCACCUGGGGAGUACGAACGCAAGGGUGAAACUCAAAGGAAUUGACGGGGGCCCGCACAAGCGGUGGAGCAUGUGGUUUAAUUCGAUGAUACGCGAGGAACCUUACCAAGGCUUAAAUGUAGUUUGACCGGUUUGGAAACAGAUCUAACGCAAGACAAAUUACAAGGUGCUGCAUGGUUGUCGUCAGGACGUCACGUGAGGUGUCAGGUUAAGUCCUAUAACGAGCGCAACCCCUGUUGUCAGUUGCCAGCGAGUCAUGUCGGGAACUCUAACGAGACUGGCAGUGCAAACUCUGAGGAAGGUGGGGAUGACGUCAAGGCAUCACGGCCCUUACGCCUUGGCCUACACACGUGCCACAAUGCCCGGUACAGAGAGCAGCCACUGGGUGACCAGGAGCGAAUCUACAAACCGGUCACAGUUCGGAUCGGAGUCUGCAACAGCACUCCGUGAAGCUGGAAUCGCUAGUAAUCGGAUAUCAGCCAUGAUCCGGUGAAUACGAACCCGGGCCUUGUACACACCGCCCGUCAAGCCAUGGAAGCUGGGGGUGCGUGAAGUCGGUGACCGCAAGGAGCUGCCUAGGGUAACCCUGGUAACUAGGGCUAAGUCGUAACAAGGUAGCCGUACCGCUGGGUGCGGCUGG